ACAGAGAGGUGCACAGGCCCCUGGAGACCGCGUCGUGGGACUUAAUUGCUUGUCCCCGGCCUGCUGCCAGGCGACCUCACAGUCCACCCCAUCUCCUUCCCCCCACUGCGGGGAGACUAGCAGGAGGCAGAUGAGGAUUCUCCCGCCCCAAGGAGAAUACAGCUGAGCCUCUGAGAUCAAACAGGAAGCUCCAGGUUUUCCGUGAACACACUGCGCUCACUAGCGACUCAGCUCCUCGGAAUGUCUCCUCCUCUGGGAACAGGGCUUCCUCUGACUGGUCCCUGAAGGAGAGGGCAGGUCUGUGAGGUCCAGCACCCAUCCACCCUAGCAGCUGUGCACCAACCCCAGGAGACCACGUGGUGCAAAGUCUGAAACACAGGAGCAGCUGGACAUCCUAAAGCCAGGGUGCAGAACUGGAUGUGUCCCCACAGGAUGCACAGCUGCAGCGCUAACCCUCAGCAGCAUGGCUCAGGAUGUGGGGCCUUCAGGAGGACAUGAGGGGUGGAUGAGGUCAUGGGAUGGGGUCCCUAUGCAGGAUUGGUAUCCUUAUGAAGAGGGGCAUGGACCAGAGAGCCCACUCUCCUUUCUUCUCUCCCACGCUCCAACAAAAAAGACAUCCUGUGAGCGCUCGCCCAGGUGACGGUCGCCUGCAAGCCAAGACAGGGGCCACAGAGGGAGACCUAUUUACAUCCAGAAAUUAGCUUAAUAUUCAAUAGAGACCUACUUUCAGCCUUAGAGAAAGGUGUGACAGUUCUAAUUCCAGGUCACCGUGUUCCUAAACCUUUUCUACAUGCUUCCCCCUUUAUUUCAAAUAGUACACAAAUGUCCUCAGGACACAAGCCAUCUUUCCUUCUUGUGCGACACAUCAUUGUGUAUUUCCUAAAAUACUUCCUUCAGGGUUGUUGAGAGAUACAUCACCGUGUCAGUUGAAGACCCAGGGCAUGACGGCUUCAUUUACACAUGUUCAGCCACAGAUACCUGCUCCUAUAGAUGCAGUAGAAAGAGUAAUAAUAAGGGAAAGAUGUCUCUCUUCGUGACUGGACCUCUUGGGAGCUAACUUGCCUGAAUCUUCCCACAUAGGUGUCAGCCACAGUCACCACAGGGCACAUCACACCUUCGUCCCAACCCGGCCCCCGACCCCACCCCUGGGAACCACAAGUCUGAUCUCUUUCUCUCUGAGUUGGAGUCUUUUUCUUCCUUUUCUGUCACAUCCCACACAUAAGUGAGAUCAUAUGGCAUUUGUCUUUGCAUAACUUACCUCACUUAGUGUAAUGCACUCGAGGUCUCCCUGUGGCUGAAUACGAUCCCAUUGAGUGUGUGUGUUGUGUGUGUGUGUGUAUGCACACCUCAUUCUCCUUUAUCUAUUCUCCAUCCACGGGCACCUGGGCUGUUUCCUCGUCUUGGCCAUUAUAAACAAUGGUGCCAGGAACACGGGGGUGCAGAUAGCCUUUCCUGUUAUUGUUUUUGUUACCUUUGGAUCUAUUCCCCAAACUGCCAUUGCUAGGUCAUAGGGUAGCUCUAUGUGUAACUCCUUGGGGACCCUCCACACUGUUUUCCACAGUACUGCACCAGCCUGCAUUCCCACCAGCAGGUAAGAGUUUCCCUUUUCUCCACAUCCUCACCAACACCUGUCAUUUCCCAACGUGUUAAUUUUAGCCAUCCUGACAGGUGUGAUAUGGCAUCUCAUUGUGGUUUUGAUUUGUAUUUCCCUGAUGGUGAGGGAUGUAGAGCAUCUUCUCAUGUGUCUGCUGGCCAUCUGGAUGUCUUCUGUUGAAAACAUCUAUUUGGGUCCUCUGCCCAUUUUUUUAAUUGGGUUACUGGUGGGGGGGAGGUUGUUUAUGUGUUUGUUUCUGUUUCUGCUAUUGAGUUGUAUGACUUCUUUGUAUGUUUUGGAUAUUCAAUCCAUUAUCUGAUACACGGUUUGCAAAUAUUUUUUU
RNAcentral lists this long non-coding RNA (1937 nucleotides) under Canis lupus familiaris (dog). Its description in RNAcentral is "lncRNA (ENSCAFG00000052765.1, ENSCAFG00805005038.1, ENSCAFG00845007027.1)". Lineage: Eukaryota; Metazoa; Chordata; Mammalia; Carnivora; Canidae. The record is from RNAcentral.